AGAGGUUGAUCAUGGCUCAGAUUGAACGCUGGCGGCAGGCCUAACACAUGCAAGUCGAACGGUAACAGGAAGCAGCUUGCUGCUUCGCUGACGAGUGGCGGACGGGUGAGUAAUGUCUGGGAAGCUGCCUGAUGGAGGGGGAUAACUACUGGAAACGGUAGCUAAUACCGCAUAAUGUCGCAAGACCAAAGAGGGGGACCUUCGGGCCUCUUGCCAUCGGAUGUGCCCAGAUGGGAUCAGCUUGUUGGUGGGGUAACGGCUCACCAAGGCGACGAUCCCUAGCUGGUCUGAGAGGAUGACCAGCCACACUGGAACUGAGACACGGUCCAGACUCCUACGGGAGGCAGCAGUGGGGAAUAUUGCACAAUGGGCGCAAGCCUGAUGCAGCCAUGCCGCGUGUAUGAAGAAGGCCUUCGGGUUGUAAAGUACUUUCAGCGGGGAGGAAGGGAGUAAAGUUAAUACCUUUGCUCAUUGACGUUACCCGCAGAAGAAGCACCGGCUAACUCCGUGCCAGCAGCCGCGGUAAUACGGAGGGUGCAAGCGUUAAUCGGAAUUACUGGGCGUAAAGCGCAUGCAGGCGGUUUGUUAAGUCAGAUGUGAAAUCCCCGGGCUCAACCUGGGAACUGCAUCUGAUACUGGCAAGCUUGAGUCUCGUAGAGGGGGGUAGAAUUCCAGGUGUAGCGGUGAAAUGCGUAGAGAUCUGGAGGAAUACCGGUGGCGAAGGCGGCCCCCUGGACGAAGACUGACGCUCAGGUGCGAAAGCGUGGGGAGCAAACAGGAUUAGAUACCCUGGUAGUCCACGCCGUAAACGAUGUCGACUUGGAGGUUGUGCCCUUGAGGCGUGGCUUCCGGAGCUAACGCGUUAAGUCGACCGCCUGGGGAGUACGGCCGCAAGGUUAAAACUCAAAUGAAUUGACGGGGGCCCGCACAAGCGGUGGAGCAUGUGGUUUAAUUCGAUGCAACGCGAAGAACCUUACCUGGUCUUGACAUCCACGGAAGUUUUCAGAGAUGAGAAUGUGCCUUCGGGAACCGUGAGACAGGUGCUGCAUGGCUGUCGUCAGCUCGUGUUGUGAAAUGUUGGGUUAAGUCCCGCAACGAGCGCAACCCUUAUCCUUUGUUGCCAGCGGUCCGGCCGGGAACUCAAAGGAGACUGCCAGUGAUAAACUGGAGGAAGGUGGGGAUGACGUCAAGUCAUCAUGGCCCUUACGACCAGGGCUACACACGUGCUACAAUGGCGCAUACAAAGAGAAGCGACCUCGCGAGAGCAAGCGGACCUCAUAAAGUGCGUCGUAGUCCGGAUUGGAGUCUGCAACUCGACUCCAUGAAGUCGGAAUCGCUAGUAAUCGUGGAUCAGAAUGCCACGGUGAAUACGUUCCCGGGCCUUGUACACACCGCCCGUCACACCAUGGGAGUGGGUUGCAAAAGAAGUAGGUAGCUUAACCUUCGGGAGGGCGCUUACCACUUUGUGAUUCAUGACUGGGGUGAAGGC
This 1489-nucleotide ribosomal RNA is filed under the name metagenome. RNAcentral's name for it is "bacterial SSU rRNA". It matches the Rfam family "Bacterial small subunit ribosomal RNA". The record is from RNAcentral.